RNAcentral lists this ribosomal RNA (483 nucleotides) under uncultured bacterium. RNAcentral's name for it is "partial 16S ribosomal RNA". It matches the Rfam family "Bacterial small subunit ribosomal RNA", at positions 28 to 507 of the family's 1533-position model. The record is from RNAcentral.
GACGAACGCUGGCGGCGUGCUUAACACAUGCAAGUCGAACGCUGAAGCUCAGCUUUUGUUGGGUGGAUGAGUGGCGAACGGGUGAGUAACACGUGAGUAACCUGCCCCCUUCUUUGGGAUAACGCCCGGAAACGGGUGCUAAUUCUGGAUAUUCACUGGUCUUCGCAUGGGGGUUGGUGGAAAGGGUUUUUCUGGUGGGGGAUGGGCUCGCGGCCUAUCAGCUUGUUGGUGGGGUGAUGGCCUACCAAGGCUUUGACGGGUAGCCGGCCUGAGAGGGUGACCGGUCACAUUGGGACUGAGAUACGGCCCAGACUCCUACGGGAGGCAGCAGUGGGGAAUAUUGCACAAUGGGCGCAAGCCUGAUGCAGCGACGCCGCGUGAGGGAUGGAGGCCUUCGGGUUGUGAACCUCUUUCGCUCAUGGUCAAGCCGCAACAAUGGUUGUGGUGAGGGUAGUGGGUAAAGAAGCGCCGGCUAACUACGUG